UGAGACCUGGGGCUCAAAGUGUUUACCCUGGUUAAAUAAAAGUUCAUACAAAAUAUAGCUGUUUACAAUCACCACUAGAUGGUGGGAUUCCCUUUCUGUUUUUCACCUGCUUUAUUUCACCAACACAAGUCUUUCCCACUGACGGAUACAGUAUUUACACGUUCUUGAGUAGUCUCAAGGCAAGCUGAGGAAUUCUUACAUGACAUAGCUAGCUUAUGUGAUAUUAUAUCAAAUUAAAGUACAACAACACUCAUAAUGUGUUGCUUCGUGUGUGAUUAAUAGGCUACUGUAUGCAUGAUUUCCUUCAUCAAUUAGGCUACCUGAGGUUCCUCUACGUAAGUGAAUAUGAUUUGAACAUGGUUUAAUAUCCAAUGUUAUGCCAUGAGCUGAAGUAUAUGACUACUCAUUAAUCUAGCCGAUGGUUUAUACUCACAAAAUAAAUAUCUUCCGUUACAAAACAAAUCAGCAUUCCAAGAGGCUAAUUACUAAUAGCAUCAACUGGCUUACAGUAUUAAUUCAGAAACCUUGAUUUGUUCUGGAUAAUAUUUAACCAAACUAAUUCCCAAAAAUCUCUCUCUGCAUGUUCCGUAAUAACAAUAUUACAAAAACUCUGCAUGUUCUACAGGCCAACCGCUUUGAGGAUAAUACAGUGCCACCAACACGGCCCGUUGCAAUGGACUGUGGGCUCUCCUUCUCCCUGGCAGACGGGAAUAAGACAUUUAUACGUGUUAAACCUCGCAAGGCUGCCGGCCCAGACGACAUCCCCAGCCGCGUCCUCAGAGCAUGCGCAGACCAGCUGGCUGGUGUGUUUACGGACAUAUUCAAUCUCUCCCUAUCCCAGUCUGUUGUCCCCACAUGCUUCAGAUGGCCACCAUUGUUCCUGUACCCAAGAAAGCAAAGGUCCACAGACGAUGCAAUCGCCAUAACACUGCACACUGCCCUAUCUCAUCUGGACAAGAGGAAUACCUAUGUAAGAAUGCUGUUCAUUGACUACAGCUCAGCAUUCAACGCCAUAGUACCCACCAUAGUACCCGUCUGGCUGCAUAACCGCCUGGCACGGCAACUGCAUCGCCCACAACCGCAAGGCUCUCCAGAGGGUGGUGCGGUCUGCACAGCGCAUCACCAGGGGCAAACUACGUGCCCACCAGGACACCUACAGCACCUGAUGUCACAGGAAGGCCAAAAGAUCAUCAAGGACAACAACCACCCGAGCCAUUGUCUGUUCACCUCGCGACCACCCAGAAGGCGAUGUCUUUACAGGUGCAUCAAAGCUGGGACCGAGAGACUGAAAAACAGCUUCUAUCUCAAGACCAUCAGACUGUUAAACAGCCAUCACUAACACCCAGAGGCUGCAGCAUACAUACAGACUUGAAAUCAUUGGCCAUUUUAAUAAAUGGAUCACUAGUCACAUUAAUAAUGCGACUUUAAUAUGUUUACGUAUCUUGCAUUACUCAUCUCAUAUGUAUAUACUGUAUUUUAUACCUUCUAUUGCAUCUUGCCUACACCACUCUGUCAUUGCUCAUCCUUAUAUUUAUAUGUAUAUAUUAUUAUUCCAUUCCUUUACUUAGAUGUGUGUGUAUUGGGUAGUUAUGGAAUUGUUAGAUUACAUGUUAGAUAUUGCUGCACUGUCGGAACUAGAAGCACAAGCACUUUGCUACACUCACAAUAACAUCUUGCUAACCAUAUGUAUGUCACAAAUACAAUUUGAUUUGAACCUGUUAUUACUGUAAAUGGGGCCACACAUCUGAUGAAGAACAUCGGAUGAAGUGUUACCUUAAUUAUGAGAGCUAAUUACUCAAAUUACUUAACGAAUACCUCUGAAUGCAAAGAGGUUUAUAAAGUGUAGAUCAAUCACAAUACUUUUUAAUGGUUGUCAAACCUUUUAAAUGUUUAAAUGUUUAAUGGUCAUGGUACAGAGGGCUGAAUGAAAAGUGUAUUGUGAAAGUCAAGGAAAUUACCCCAUUGAAAUGACGUAACUUUUAUGACUUAUCUUGCCUAUUUAAAGGUUAUUGUCUCCAUGUAUAGAUAUACUGUAAACAGUGAGAUGUUAACAUUGAAUUAAACUUGACUGGGCCUUUUAA
This is a long non-coding RNA of Oncorhynchus nerka (sockeye salmon), 2081 nucleotides long. RefSeq lists it as uncharacterized. Lineage: Eukaryota; Metazoa; Chordata; Actinopteri; Salmoniformes; Salmonidae. The transcript is spliced from 2 exons. The record is from RefSeq and is a predicted model, not a curated record.